RNAcentral lists this ribosomal RNA (774 nucleotides) under uncultured Neocallimastigales. RNAcentral's name for it is "partial large subunit ribosomal RNA". It matches the Rfam family "Eukaryotic large subunit ribosomal RNA", at positions 18 to 635 of the family's 3401-position model. The record is from RNAcentral. Lineage: Eukaryota; Fungi; Neocallimastigomycota; Neocallimastigomycetes; Neocallimastigales.
UCAGACGAUGCGUCAUGCAUAUCAAUAAGCGGAGGAAAAGAAACUAACAAGGAUUCCCUUAGUAACGGCGAGUGAAGCGGGAAGAGCUCAAAUUUGAAAUCUUCAAGGUUUUACCUUGACGAAUUGUAGUUUAAAGAAGUGUUUUCUGUUGAAGUUUUGGUAAAAGUUCUUUGGAAUAGGACAUCAUAGAGGGUGAGAAUCCCGUAUUUGACCAUUCUUUCUAGCUGUGUGAUACACUUUCAAAGAGUCGGAUUGUUUGGGAAUGCAGUCCAAAAUGGGUGGUAAAUUUCAUCUAAAGCUAAAUAUUGGCGAGAGACCGAUAGCGAACAAGUACCGUGAGGGAAAGAUGAAAAGAACUUUGAAAAGAGAGUUAAACAGUACGUGAAAUUGUCAAAAGGGAAGCGUUUGACACCAGUGUUGUUUUCUCGAAAAUCAAUUAAAAAGAGUUGGAUUUUGUGUUGUAUUGACCUUAACAGCUUGCUUCACUCUUUUCCUGCUUUUUUUAAUGCACUUUUCGUUUAACAAGUCAACAUCAGUUUCUUUUGUUGUAAAAGGGUCAUUGGAAGGUGGCUUUCUCUUCGGAGAAAGUGUUUAUAGCCUUUGAUCUCUGCAAUCGGAGAGACUGAGGUCUGCAGCGUAGAUCCUUCGGGGUUAGAUACAUUUGUGCUAAGCUACAGCUUUUCAUAGACAACUUGUUGACUAUGUUUAGUCUUGUAACUUACCCGCUUAUGCUAUUUUACCUACGCUUAGGAUGUUGAUAUGCAUGACUGAUAU